RNAcentral lists this ribosomal RNA (253 nucleotides) under uncultured bacterium. RNAcentral's name for it is "partial 16S ribosomal RNA". It matches the Rfam family "Bacterial small subunit ribosomal RNA", at positions 524 to 776 of the family's 1533-position model. The record is from RNAcentral.
UACGUAGGGGCCUAGCGUUGUCCGGAAUUAUUGGGCGUAAAGAGCUCGUAGGCGGUUUGUCGCGUCUGCUGUGAAAUCCCGAGGCUCAACCUCGGGUCUGCAGUGGGUACGGGCAGACUGGAGUGCGGUAGGGGAGAAUGGAAUUCCUGGUGUAGCGGUGGAAUGCGCAGAUAUCAGGAGGAACACCGAUGGCGAAGGCAGUUCUCUGGGCCGAUACUGACGCUGAGGAGCGAAAGCGUGGGGAGCGAACAGG